GACGAACGCUGGCGGCGUGCCUGAUACAUGCAAGUCGAGCGAAUCAAUAGGAGCUUGCCCCUGUUGGUUAGCGGCGGACGGGUGAGUAACACGUGGGCAACCUGCCUGUAAGACUGGGAUAACACCGGGAAACCGGUGCUAAUACCGGAUAAUCCUUUUCCUCUCAUGAGGAAAAGUUGAAAGUCGGUUUCGGCUGACACUUACAGAUGGGCCCGCGGCGCAUUAGCGAGUUGGUGAGGUAACGGCUCACCAAGGCGACGAUGCGUAGCCGACCGGAGAGGGUGAUCGGCCACACUGGGACUGAGACACGGCCCAGACUCCUACGGGAGGCAGCAGUAGGGAAUCUUCCACAAUGGACGAAAGUCUGAUGGAGCAACGCCGCGUGAGCGAUGAAGGCCUUCGGGUCGUAAAGCUCUGUUGUCAGGGAAGAACAAGUAUCGGAGUAACUGCCGGUACCUUGACGGUACCUAACCAGAAAGCCACGGCUAACUACGUGCCAGCCGCCGCAGUAA
RNAcentral lists this ribosomal RNA (512 nucleotides) under uncultured bacterium. RNAcentral's name for it is "partial 16S ribosomal RNA". It matches the Rfam family "Bacterial small subunit ribosomal RNA", at positions 28 to 523 of the family's 1533-position model. The record is from RNAcentral.